Molecule: ribosomal RNA, 948 nt
Filed under: uncultured bacterium
Lineage: Bacteria
Description: partial 16S ribosomal RNA
Rfam family: Bacterial small subunit ribosomal RNA
Source: RNAcentral
UUUGAUCYUGGSUCAGGAUGAACSCUAGCSGCAGGSUUAAUACMUGSMAGUCSAGGGGUAACAUGGGUAGCAAUACCUGAUGACSACCGGCAAACGGGUGCGGAACACGUACGCAACCUUCCCAAAACUGGUGAAUAGCCUUUCSAAAGAGAGAUUAAUACACCGUAACUUAAUGRAGUGGCAUCAYUUUAUUAAUAUAGCUCCGGCGGUUUUGGAUGGGCGUGCGCCUGAUUAGGUAGUUGGCGGGGUAACGGCCCACCAAGCCUACGAUCAGUAACUGGUGUGAGAGCACGACCAGUCACACGGGCACUGAGACACGGGCCCGACUCCUACGGGAGGCAGCAGUAAGGAAUAUUGGUCAAUGGACGAAAGUYUGAACCAGCCAUGCCGCGUGAAGGRUURRGGSKCUCUGGGUUGUAAACUUCUUUUAUAGGGGACGAAAAAAGGGCAUUCUUGCUCACUUGACGGUACCCUAGGAAUAAGCACCGGCUAACUCCGUGCCAGCAGCCGCGGUAAUACGGAGGGUGCAAGCGUUAUCCGGAUUUACUGGGUUUAAAGGGAGCGUAGGUGGGUUGGUAAGUCAGUGGUGAAAUCUUCGAGCUUAACUCGGAAACUGCCAUUGAUACUAUCAAUCUUGAAUUAUCUGGAGGUAAGCGGAAUAUGUCAUGUAGCGGUGAAAUGCUUAGAUAUGACAUAGAACACCCAUUGCGAAGGCAGCUUACUACGGAUAUAUUGACACUGAGGCUCGAAAGCGUGGGGAUCAAACAGGAUUAGAUACCCUGGUAGUCCACGCCCUAACGAUGGAUACUCGACAUCAGCGAUACWCUGUUGGUGUCUGAGCGAAAGCAUAAGUAUCCYACCUGGGAAGUACGACYGCWAGGUUGAAACUUCAAGGAAUUGACGGGGGUCUSCACAAGCUGGUGGAGCWUGUGGUUUAUUCGAUGAUAC